UACGGGGGGGGCAAGCGUUGUUCGGAAUUACUGGGCGUAAAGGGCGCGUAGGCGGUUCGCUAAGUCGGAUGUGAAAACUCUGGGCUCAACCCAGAGCCUGCAUCCGAAACUGGCGGGCUAGAGUUCUGGAGGGGGUAGCGGAAUUCCUGGUGUAGCGGUGAAAUGCGUAGAUAUCAGGAGGAACACCGGUGGCGAAGGCAGCUCGCUGGGACGUGACUGACGCUGAGACGCGAAAGCGUGGGGAGCAAACAGG
RNAcentral lists this ribosomal RNA (253 nucleotides) under uncultured bacterium. Its description in RNAcentral is "partial 16S ribosomal RNA". It matches the Rfam family "Bacterial small subunit ribosomal RNA", at positions 524 to 776 of the family's 1533-position model. The record is from RNAcentral.